Molecule: unclassified non-coding RNA, 240 nt
Filed under: soil metagenome
Description: partial contains 5.8S ribosomal RNA, internal transcribed spacer 2, and large subunit ribosomal RNA
Source: RNAcentral
AAGACUAUAGACCUGCGGAGUACCUGCGGAAGGAUCAUUACCGAGUUUUCAACUCCCUAACCCUUCUGUGAACCUACCUAUCGUUGCUUCGGCGGACUCGCCCCAGCCCGGACGCGGACUGGACCAGCGGCCCGCCGGGGACCUCAAACUCUUGUAUUCCAGCAUCUUCUGAAUACGCCGCAAGGCAAAACAAAUGAAUCAAAACUUUCAGCAACGGAUCUCUAGAUCGGAAGAGCACAC